CUGGACAAUUUUUAUACAAACCCACGCAAGGUUAGCCAAAACAGAUUCGCCGCAAGAAUUUUUUUUGCUUCUUGCGCUACGUCAGUUUACUUACUACAAGUAAUGGGUAGUAUGUACGCCGGCUAUAAGCUCAAUCUGAG
This 140-nucleotide small RNA is filed under the name Pseudomonas rhodesiae. RNAcentral's name for it is "Pseudomonas sRNA P14". It matches the Rfam family "Pseudomonas sRNA P14". The record is from RNAcentral. Lineage: Bacteria; Pseudomonadati; Pseudomonadota; Gammaproteobacteria; Pseudomonadales; Pseudomonadaceae.